Molecule: ribosomal RNA, 253 nt
Filed under: uncultured bacterium
Lineage: Bacteria
Description: partial 16S ribosomal RNA
Rfam family: Bacterial small subunit ribosomal RNA
Source: RNAcentral
UACGGAGGAUCCAAGCGUUAUCCGGAUUUAUUGGGUUUAAAGGGUGCGUAGGCGGCCUGUUAAGUCAGGGGUGAAAGACGGUAGCUUAACUAUCGCAGUGCCCUUGAUACUGAUGGGCUUGAAUGAACUAGAGGUAGGCGGAAUGUGACAAGUAGCGGUGAAAUGCAUAGAUAUGUCACAGAACACCAAUUGCGAAGGCAGCUUACUAUGGUUUUAUUGACACUGAGGCACGAAAGCGUGGGGAUCAAACAGG